UACGAAGGGGGCUAGCGUUGCUCGGAAUCACUGGGCGUAAAGCGCACGUAGGCGGCUUCUUAAGUCAGGGGUGAAAUCCUGGAGCUCAACUCCAGAACUGCCUUUGAUACUGGGAAGCUUGAGUCCGGAAGAGGUGAGUGGAACUCCGAGUGUAGAGGUGAAAUUCGUAGAUAUUAGGAAGAACACCGGUGGCGAAGGCGGCCCACUGGAUCGGUACUGACGCUGAGGUGCGAAAGCGUGGGGAGCAAACAGG
Molecule: ribosomal RNA, 253 nt
Filed under: uncultured bacterium
Lineage: Bacteria
Description: partial 16S ribosomal RNA
Rfam family: Bacterial small subunit ribosomal RNA
Source: RNAcentral